RNAcentral lists this ribosomal RNA (484 nucleotides) under uncultured bacterium. RNAcentral's name for it is "partial 16S ribosomal RNA". It matches the Rfam family "Bacterial small subunit ribosomal RNA", at positions 28 to 524 of the family's 1533-position model. The record is from RNAcentral.
GACGAACGCUGGCGGCGUGCUUUACACAUGCAAGUCGAACGGUGAAGGUGGAGCUUGCUCCGCCGGAUCAGUGGCGAACGGGUGAGUAACACGUGGGCAACCUGCCCCUAACUUUGGGAUAACUACUCGAAAGAGUAGCUAAUACCGGAUACGAAGUCUGUAGGCAUCUACGGAUUUGGAAAGUUUUUCGGUUAGGGAUGGGCCCGCGGCCUAUCAGCUUGUUGGUGAGGUAGUGGCUCACCAAGGCGACGACGGGUAGCCGGCCUGAGAGGGCGACCGGCCACACUGGGACUGAGACACGGCCCAGACUCCUACGGGAGGCAGCAGUGGGGAAUAUUGCGCAAUGGGCGAAAGCCUGACGCAGCAACGCCGCGUGCGGGAUGAAGGCCUUCGGGUUGUAAACCGCUUUCAGCAGGGAAGAAGCGAAAGUGACGGUACCUGCAGAAGAAGCACCGGCUAACUACGUGCCAGCAGCCGCCGUUAA